This 631-nucleotide long non-coding RNA is filed under the name Mus pahari (shrew mouse). RNAcentral describes it as "lncRNA (MGP_PahariEiJ_G0004447.1)". Lineage: Eukaryota; Metazoa; Chordata; Mammalia; Rodentia; Muridae. The record is from RNAcentral.
AGAUGAAGUUAGCCUUCUCAGCUAGCCUUUAGAUUUGUCUGUUAACAGUAGAAAUGCUAUAAGAAAUCGGUAACAUAUGUUGCCAGGCAGGGAAAAGUGGUAGACAAGAGCCUGGGAGACCAAGCCAAGUACCAUGUGAAAGAAUUCAAAUUCCAAUCUAGGUGCUGCUAAUUACCAUCUGAAAAGCAAUUUGAAAGUGUUGUUACUUGCUUGUACUCUUCCUCAUUUUUCUUCUUUCUUUCUUUCUUUCUUUCUUUCUUUCUUUCUUUCUUUCUUUCUCUUCAGAUUGCUUUCUUACCCAAAUUAUCUCCGUGAUUGCCUGCCCUGCGGCUUUGGGCCAAUGCAAACUACAAAAUGGCAAGUCUUACAAUAUUGUCUCUCCUUGUCUGGCCUCUAUCCUCCUUCCAGAAUGAACAGAGCUAUAUCCCUAAGCACUGGACCUUGAUUUCACAGCCUCAUCCAAAGCCAGGCAAUUCUUGAGGCAAACAAACAAAGGGGUGUGAGUGAUUUCAUUUAUUUUGAUAAUCCUCUGUCUGCACAGGGGCACUUUGCUGUCUUUGUCAAAGUGAAUGACAACAAUUUGGCCAACUCUCUCUGAGCUGCACUCAACAGUGACAGGCAAAUUAUCAGA